GAUGAACGCUGGCGGCGUGCCUAAUACAUGCAAGUCGAGCGAACGGACGAGAAGCUUGCUUCUCUGAUGUUAGCGGCGGACGGGUGAGUAACACGUGGAUAACCUACCUAUAAGACUGGGAUAACUUCGGGAAACCGGAGCUAAUACCGGAUAAUAUUUUGAACCGCAUGGUUCAAAAGUGAAAGACGGUCUUGCUGUCACUUAUAGAUGGAUCCGCGCUGCAUUAGCUAGUUGGUAAGGUAACGGCUUACCAAGGCAACGAUGCAUAGCCGACCUGAGAGGGUGAUCGGCCACACUGGAACUGAGACACGGUCCAGACUCCUGCGGGAGGCAGCAGUAGGGAAUCUUCCGCAAUGGGCGAAGGCCUGACGGAGCAACGCCGCGUGAGUGAUGAAGGUCUUCGGAUCGUAAAACUCUGUUAUUAGGGAAGAACAUAUGUGUAAGUAACUGUGCACAUCUUGACGGUACCUAAUCAGAAAGCCACGGCUAACUACGUG
This 497-nucleotide ribosomal RNA is filed under the name uncultured bacterium. RNAcentral's name for it is "partial 16S ribosomal RNA". It matches the Rfam family "Bacterial small subunit ribosomal RNA", at positions 28 to 507 of the family's 1533-position model. The record is from RNAcentral.